This 510-nucleotide ribosomal RNA is filed under the name uncultured bacterium. Its description in RNAcentral is "bacterial SSU rRNA". It matches the Rfam family "Bacterial small subunit ribosomal RNA", at positions 28 to 528 of the family's 1533-position model. The record is from RNAcentral.
GACGAACGCUGGCGGCGUGGAUUAGGCAUGCAAGUCGAACGGUAUCAUCCUUUCGGGGGUGAGAGAGUGGCGAACUGGUGAGUAACACGUAGGUUAUCUACCCUCAAGACGGGGACAACCCAGGGAAACUUGGGCUAAUACCGGAUGUGAGCAACUUUUAGUUGUUUGAAAGGUGGCGUAAGCUGUCGCUUGGGGAUGAGCCUAAGCGUCCUAUUAGUUAGUUGGUGAGGUAACGGCUCACCUAGGCAAUGAUAGGUAGGCGGCCUUAACGGGUGGUCGCCCACACUGGGAUUGAGAUACGGCCCAGACUCCUACGGGAGGCAGCAGUCGAGAAUAGUCUACAAUGGUCGGAAGACUGAUAGUGCGACGCCGCGUGAACGAUGAAUCCCUUCGGGUGUAAAGUUCUUUUAUAUGUGAGCAGUGCUUCUUAUAUUAACAGUAUGGGGAGAGAGAUAUUAGCAUAUGAAUAAGCAACGGCUAACUCCGUGCCAGCAGCCGCGGUAAACUCGU